Molecule: ribosomal RNA, 377 nt
Filed under: Staphylococcus aureus
Lineage: Bacteria; Bacillati; Bacillota; Bacilli; Caryophanales; Staphylococcaceae
Description: bacterial SSU rRNA
Rfam family: Bacterial small subunit ribosomal RNA
Source: RNAcentral
CCGGAAUGCUGGUGGGUAAAGCGAGCGUGGGCGGUUUGUGAAGUCUGAUGUGAAGGUCUGCGGAUCAACCUGGGAGGGUUAAUGGAAACUGGAAGAGUGGAGGGCAGAAGAGGAAGGUGGAAUUACAUGUGUAGCGGUGAAGUGCGUAGCGAUAUGGAGGAACACCAGUGGCGAAGGCGACUUUCUGGUCUGUAACUGACGCUGUUGUGCGAAAGCGUGGGGAUCAAACAGGAUUAUAUACACUUGUAGUCCACGCCGCACACGCUGUGUGCUAGGUGUCUGGGGGCUUCCGCCCCUUAGUGCUGCACCUACCGUAUUAAGCACGCCGCCUGGGGCCGCAGACUGAAAGUUUGCAACUCCACAGAAUUGACGAGGAC